RNAcentral lists this ribosomal RNA (431 nucleotides) under uncultured rumen bacterium. RNAcentral's name for it is "bacterial SSU rRNA". It matches the Rfam family "Bacterial small subunit ribosomal RNA", at positions 354 to 776 of the family's 1533-position model. The record is from RNAcentral.
GCUAAGAAUAUUCCGCAAUGGACGAAAGUCUGACGGAGCGACGCCGCGUGGAUGAUGAAGGCCGGAAGGUUGUAAAAUCCUUUUAUGACUGAGGAAUAAGCAGUGUGAGAGAAACGCAUUGUGGUGACUGUAGGUCAUGAAUAAGCAACGGCUAAUUACGUGCCAGCAGCCGCGGUAACACGUAAGUUGCGAGCGUUGUUCGGAAUUAUUGGGCGUAAAGGGCAUGUAGGCGGUUCUGCAAGUCUGGUGUGAAAUACCGGGGCUCAACCCCGGAACUGCGUUGGAAACUGCAGGACUUGAAUCGCUGAGGGGCAGCCAGAAUUCCAGGUGUAGGGGUGAAAUCUGUAGAUAUCUGGAAGAAUACCAAUGGCGAAGGCAGGCUGCCAGCAGAUGAUUGACGCUGAGGUGCGAAGGUGCGGGGAGCAAACAGG